Molecule: transfer RNA, 74 nt
Filed under: Candidatus Roizmanbacteria bacterium RIFCSPHIGHO2_01_FULL_38_41
Lineage: Bacteria; Candidatus Roizmaniibacteriota
Also listed under: 4 other names
Description: tRNA-Gly
Rfam family: tRNA
About the family: Transfer RNA (tRNA) molecules are approximately 80 nucleotides in length. Their secondary structure includes four short double-helical elements and three loops (D, anti-codon, and T loops). Further hydrogen bonds mediate the characteristic L-shaped molecular structure. tRNAs have two regions of fundamental functional importance: the anti-codon, which is responsible for specific mRNA codon recognition, and the 3' end, to which the tRNAs corresponding amino acid is attached (by aminoacyl-tRNA synthetases). tRNAs cope with the degeneracy of the genetic code in two manners: having more than one tRNA (with a specific anti-codon) for a particular amino acid; and 'wobble' base-pairing, i.e. permitting non-standard base-pairing at the 3rd anti-codon position.
Source: RNAcentral
GCGGGUGUAGUUGAGUGGUACAAUGUCUCGUUGCCAACGAGAAGCCGGGGGUUCGAUUCCCCUCACCCGCUCCG